UGAUCAUCAAGUAUGGGAUAGACAGGCACAGGGUGGUGAGGAAAAGUGACAGUAAAAAUAAAAGAUCAAAGGGUCUUAGAAUCUUUACCAGAUACAAAAAUAAUAACUUCACAAUGGAAAUGUGGACUUAUGAACAUCUAUGAACACAGUGAAAAUGGAUGAAGAUUUAAAUGAAACUUCCUCAGUUAUGUAAUCCAAACUACAAAAAUCGAAGUCAAGGGAGAUGGAUGCCAGGUGUUAGCCUAAGAGCUGGCAUAUAUUUUUUGGAGUGCUGUGAGGUGUAUUGCAAGUCUUGCCAUUAUUUGUUUACAUUUUUCAAAAAGCUAAAAGUCGAAAUAGCCAAAAUAACUCAGACUAUUUCAAAAGCUCAUUAUUUGCAUAGUGUACUCAUUUGAGCAAGAGGAAAGUCUGACUGCUAAGAGCUGCUAGGAAAGGAUAAAAGUGAACUGUAUGUGUAAAGAAGGGAAUGAGAAAGUUGCACACAGGUAAUAGGCUCUUUAUCAGCCAGUGCUGCCAUCCCUAGUUGCUGGGAAUAUAGGCUGAUAUAUAACAAUAUCCCCUUUCCUAGACAAUUUUCUGAUCAACCAGGAGCUGCCUUUCCUCAGGGGCUAUGCAACCACCUCUUGGAGUUCAGAAUUUAGAUGAUGACUAACUGAUAUCAAGGUUUAAAGGCUGCUUGUGUCAAAGUGAGAUUGAUUCAGUGGUGCAAUGUGUACUCUAGAGUUUUCACCAUGAGACCAGACGUAAAGAAGCCUCUGAGACCAGAUUCUUGUGCAUGUUUUUCGUCUUGCCUAUCCUGCAUUCCUCAACUCUCCUGAAGGCUUUCCCUCAUUCUGUCACUUGAACAAGAAUCCCCUCCCAGGCUCUGCUUCCAAGGCUACAAGGAUUCAAUCUGCUUUCCUUUAUUUUGGAAGUUGUUUACACCCACUCUACUUUCUGGGUUUAUUUCCUAGCAAGACUGCCUGCAGAGAAAUUAUUGCAGACCAAUUUAUCCAGGCAACAGUUUGCCCAUCUGCGCAAACAGUUCUCUUAUUGGACAACAUCAUUUUCGCUUGGGCAAACAGCUCAAUUUUCAGGCAACUGUUUUCUCACAAAGAGCCUUAUGUCUGUCUCAAACUAUUGUGUCAUGAAUGUUGCCCAAUCUUGACAACCUUCACACCUUAAAAAACAAACCUCAAACCAUUUAAGUACAGUCCCCUAAACCCUAUUAAUACCCUUCUGUUGUCUCCUCUUGAGACUGAUAAAACCCUGUUAAUGUGGUUUUCUCCCUUAUUGCAGUAUGUUUAAUAAAUUCUGCUUUGCCAAACAACAGGUUUAUCUGGUGGAUGUUAUAAAGGAGUCAACAAUCACCAGGUCCAAACACAAUCUUUGACACCUAACAGAAGCUCAAUUAAAUUUUUUUUCAUUAAGUAACUAGGCAGAAACUCAGGUAGGGUAUUAUAUGAGAUAAAUAUGGGGGAAAGGGAGAACAAGGUAUUAGUCACAAGGAAAAAGAAAACU
This 1500-nucleotide long non-coding RNA is filed under the name Homo sapiens (human). RNAcentral describes it as "HSALNT0302434". Lineage: Eukaryota; Metazoa; Chordata; Mammalia; Primates; Hominidae. The record is from RNAcentral.